UACGUAGGUGGCAAGCGUUGUCCGGAUUUACUGGGUGUAAAGGGCGUGUAGCCGGGCUGACAAGUCAGAUGUGAAAUCCGGGGGCUCAACCCCCGAACUGCAUUUGAAACUGUUGGUCUUGAGUAUCGGAGAGGCAGGCGGAAUUCAUAGUGUAGCGGUGAAAUGCGUAGAUAUAUGGAGGAACACCGGUGGCGAAAGCGGCUCUCUGGCCUGUAACUGACACUGAGGCUCGAAAGCGUGGGGAGCAAACAGG
This 253-nucleotide ribosomal RNA is filed under the name uncultured bacterium. RNAcentral describes it as "partial 16S ribosomal RNA". It matches the Rfam family "Bacterial small subunit ribosomal RNA", at positions 524 to 776 of the family's 1533-position model. The record is from RNAcentral.